This 254-nucleotide ribosomal RNA is filed under the name uncultured prokaryote. RNAcentral's name for it is "partial 16S ribosomal RNA". It matches the Rfam family "Bacterial small subunit ribosomal RNA", at positions 524 to 777 of the family's 1533-position model. The record is from RNAcentral.
UACGGAGGAUGCAAGCGUUAUCCGGAUUUAUUGGGUUUAAAGGGUGCGCAGGUUGUUUGAUAAGUCAGUGGUGAAAGUCUGUCGCUUAACGGUAGGAUUGCCAUUGAUACUGUUGGACCUGAAUAUGGAUGAGGUAGGCGGAAUGUGUAGUGUAGCGGUGAAAUGCAUAGAUAUUACACAGAACACCGAUUGCGAAGGCAGCUUACUAAUCCAUCAUUGACGCUGAGGCACGAAAGCGUGGGGAUCAAACAGGA